RNAcentral lists this ribosomal RNA (394 nucleotides) under uncultured bacterium. Its description in RNAcentral is "bacterial SSU rRNA". It matches the Rfam family "Bacterial small subunit ribosomal RNA", at positions 505 to 898 of the family's 1533-position model. The record is from RNAcentral.
GUGCCAGCAGCCGCGGUAAUACAGAGGGUGCAAGCGUUAAUCGGAAUUACUGGGCGUAAAGCGUGUGUAGGUGGUUUGUUAAGUCAGAUGUGAAAUCCCUGGGCUCAACCUGGGAACUGCAUUUGAUACUGUCAGACUAGAGUGUGGUAGAGGGUAGUGGAAUUCCGCAUGUAGCGGUGAAAUGCGUAGAGAUGCGGAGGAACACCAGUGGCGAAGGCGGCUACCUGGACCAACACUGACACUGAGGCACGAAAGCGUGGGUAGCAAACAGGAUUAGAUACCCUGGUAGUCCACGCCCUAAACGAUGGGUACUAGACGUCGGGAAGUUUAUCUUCUUGGUGUCGCAGCUAACGCAAUAAGUACCCCGCCUGGGGAGUACGGUCGCAAGAUUAAA